RNAcentral lists this ribosomal RNA (878 nucleotides) under uncultured bacterium. Its description in RNAcentral is "bacterial SSU rRNA". It matches the Rfam family "Bacterial small subunit ribosomal RNA", at positions 8 to 916 of the family's 1533-position model. The record is from RNAcentral.
AGAGUUUGAUCCUGGCUCAGAACGAACGUGGCGGCGUGGAUUAGGCAUGCAAGUCGGGGGAUUCCGCCGCAAGGCGGGGAACCGGCGUAAGGGGCAGUAAUGUGUGGGUACCUACUUUCGGGUUCGGGAUAGCCAUCAGAAAUGGUGGGUAAUACCGGAUGACGUCGUGAGACCAAAGAUUUAUCGCCCGAAGAGGGGCCCACAUGAUAUUAGCUAGUUGGUGAGGUAACGGCUCACCAAGGCGAAGAUGUCUAGCGGGUGUGAGAGCACGACCCGCGCCACUCGCACUGAGACACUGGCGAGACACCUACGGGUGGCUGCAGUCGAGGAUCUUCGGCAAUGAGCGCAAGCUUGACCGAGCGACGCCGCGUGAGCGAUGAAGGCCUUCGGGUUGUAAAGCUCUUUAGUGGGGGAGAAAAGCCCGCAAGGGUGUGAUCUAUCCCAAAAAUAAGCACGGGCUAAGUUCGUGCCAGCAGCCGUGGUAAGACGAACCGUGCGAACGUUGUUCGGAAUCACUGGGCUUAAAGGGCGCGUAGGCGGGCUGUCAAGUCUGGGGUGAAAUGCCACGGCUCAACCGUGGAACUGCCUCAGAUACUGACGGCCUCGAGGGAGGUAGGGGCGUGCGGAACUGUAGGUGGAGCGGUGAAAUGCGUUGAUAUCUACAGGAACUCCGGUGGCGAAAGCGGCGCGCUGGACCUCUUCUGACGCUGAGGCGCGAAAGCUAGGGGAGCAAACGGGAUUAGAUACCCCGGUAGUCCUAGCCCUAAACGAUGGGUACUAGAUAGUAGACUAGAUAUGGGUUUACUGUCGAAGCUAAAGUGCUAAGUACCCCGCCUGGGGAGUAUGGUCGCAAGGCUGAAACUCAAAUGAAUUGACGG